Non-coding RNA from Bactrocera oleae (olive fruit fly), 1077 nucleotides. The record is from RefSeq and is a predicted model, not a curated record. Lineage: Eukaryota; Metazoa; Arthropoda; Insecta; Diptera; Tephritidae.
CAAGCAUUAAUUUCCUACAAAUUGACACGUUUCAUAAUUCGGUGUCACUGCUUUCAUCGGCAUUUUCCGUUGCCGACAGAGCCCUCAACUGAAAACUUUCCACACAACUAUUUACCAGUAAGGCUUCACUACACUCACCAGCUGAAAAUAGUAACACUACUUAUGAGAUUAGGAUACGAUAUUUUGCCGAGCGGAUUUUAGCACGCAAAUUAGGUAUCAUUGUAGGAAGGUCAAAUGCACAAUACAAUCCAAUUUACAAUUGCCAUUAUCCGUAUGAAAUCCGACUCCACCGUCGCACAUCCACACAAACAGAUAGGCUCAUAACAAUAUAGACAGCUGCUAUUGCUUCAUUUCCAAAAUAAGGUACAAAAAUAACAUUAUCAUAAACACAUUAUUAUGCUCAGAGUACGUCCGAGUCGAUAGUUGGCAGGACGACGACAGUAACAAAGUCAACGAUCAAAAUGGAGAAACAAAACAAAAAAUACCGAAAAGCCAUCGUUAGGCAUAAAAGUGUGGGCAGAUAUUCCUGGGCGUCGGGCGAUGGUCCGGAGGUAGCUGAAAAUAUGGCUGUGCAAGAUGUUGCAAGUUUAAUAACUAAUUUAUUGCUGUGAAUUUAUUUACUUGCAACAAUAAAAUACAUGUAAUUGGCUAAAUAUUUGCUGGAGCGAAGCAGCCAGAUAAGUGUGGACCACCAAUGUGUCUGUGAAAAGUUGUUCGCUGGCUUGAGAACUGCCUGCCACCAAAGUCAGUCAACGCCUUCAAAUUGAUGGCGCUUUAAUAAUGCGUGCCGAAAAUAUUCCUACGCUAGCAGCAAAAGAAUGGGAAAGGCUGCUAAAUUCGAUGGCCGUUAACAGCACAACUCUCUCAUGGAGAUGACUUGGCGCUACAACAUAAAAGCAAACAAGAGAUCAACCAAAUUACCUUCUUUAUAAAAGGUGUAUAUUUUUGCUUUAAGUAUAAAUCACCUAAUUUAAUCGCUGGAGAGCUGCACAGGAAUUUCAAGCAGCACUUAUUUCAACAAACCAAAAAGUAAGAUGUUUUGGAGAUUGAAGAAGAAAAGAUCUAGAUAUAUUACAA